Non-coding RNA from Arvicanthis niloticus (Nile rat), 457 nucleotides. The record is from RefSeq and is a predicted model, not a curated record. NCBI's taxonomy places the organism in Eukaryota, Metazoa, Chordata, Mammalia, Rodentia, Muridae.
ACAGGAGUGGGUUUAGCUGUGAGAUCUUGUUUUCAUCUGGAUCUGAAGUAGCCCUGCCUCAAGGGCUAUCCUGUCUCUUCAUUGCCAUCCCUGGCUGAAAGCUUCUGCCAAGAAAACAGGAGAUAUAAGCAGUUUUCACCUAACUGAGGCAGCCUGAUGAGAGGGCAACGAAGGUCUUGUCUAGUGAGAGGAAGCACGUGUUCAAGAUGGCACAAAGAGUUACUAGCAAAGUUGGGACGGACAUCAAGCUGUGCUCAGUCACUAGCAUCUUGAAGUUUGUGACUCUGUUCCAGCCUGCCCUCUAUGGUACUGAUCCAGAUAAGUUGACAAAAAUUCUGCAGUAUCAUGCCCCAGCUCUUAUGUGUCUGAAGGAGCUGAAGCAAAAAAAAGGUACUGGAUUUUCAGUACUUACAAAGUUGAUGAUGGGAGGCUAGAAAAAUGGAGUAUGGUAUGCAUA